GUGCCUAUAGCUCAAUGGUAGAGCGCCUGCCUGUGGAGCAGGUUAUAUGGGUUCGAUUCCCAUUAGGCACCCA
This 73-nucleotide transfer RNA is filed under the name Candidatus Wolfebacteria bacterium. RNAcentral describes it as "tRNA-His". It matches the Rfam family "tRNA". From Rfam's summary of the family: Transfer RNA (tRNA) molecules are approximately 80 nucleotides in length. Their secondary structure includes four short double-helical elements and three loops (D, anti-codon, and T loops). Lineage: Bacteria; Candidatus Wolfeibacteriota. The record is from RNAcentral.